GUACGGUGGUCGUCGUCUCAAACGCGUGUUCGUCAGCUUUGCGGCGGCGCUGCAAGCCGUCGAUACGACGGGGAGGGGAAGGUAGGUACGGCCUGAGCGCGGAGGUGCUCCGGCGUGCCACGGCCGGAGUCGGACGCGGCGGCUGUCGCGACACCGGGGGUGGACGGUAUUUCCCUUGGGUGCCUGAGCCCCGUCCGUGCGGCUCGGAUCGGGUGG
This 216-nucleotide long non-coding RNA is filed under the name Setaria italica (foxtail millet). Its description in RNAcentral is "long non-coding RNA (SITA_LNC002616)". The record is from RNAcentral. Lineage: Eukaryota; Viridiplantae; Streptophyta; Magnoliopsida; Poales; Poaceae.